UCGAGAAUUUUUCUCAAUGGGGGAAACCCUGAAGGAGCGACGCCGCGUGGAGGAUGAAGGUCUUCGGAUUGUAAACUCCUGUCAUUAGGGAACAAUUGCAUCAUAUUAACUGUGUGAUGCUUGAUAGUACCUGAAGAGGAAGAGACGGCUAACUCUGUGCCAGCAGCCGCGGUAAUACAGAGGUCUCAAGCGUUGUUCGGAUUCAUUGGGCGUAAAGGGUGCGUAGGCGGUGAAGUAAGUCAGGUGUGAAAUCUCGGGGCUCAACCCCGAAACUGCACUUGAUACUGCUUUGCUAGAGUACUGGAGAGGAGAUUGGAAUUUACGGUGUAGCAGUGAAAUGCGUAGAUAUCGUAAGGAAGACCAGUGGCGAAGGCGAAUCUCUGGACAGUUACUGACGCUGAGGCACGAAGGCCAGGGGAGCAAACGGG
RNAcentral lists this ribosomal RNA (428 nucleotides) under uncultured bacterium. Its description in RNAcentral is "bacterial SSU rRNA". It matches the Rfam family "Bacterial small subunit ribosomal RNA", at positions 355 to 776 of the family's 1533-position model. The record is from RNAcentral.